ACUGAAGCCGUUUAUGAGAAACAGUGUAUUUCAGAGAGGCUGUACCAGAAUUAACUCUGCUCAGAGUUAGAUUUGCUGGUCUUAAAGUACUUUUCCUCUUCAAGAUAAAAGAAGUUCUUCUAAAUCAGGAAUGGACUGAAAUCUAAUGAACCCAAACUUUGGGUACUUCGGACUUCAAGGGGCUCCUUUAUUGAGAAUCAAUGUCUUCUCCUAGGUAAUUGAUCACCCUAGACCCAGGGACACCCAAUUCAUCGUAAUCAUCAUGAAUAACCAAAAAGUGGUAGCUGUGCUACUGCAAGAGUGCAAGCAAGUGCUGGACCAGCUCUUGUUGGAAGCGCCAGAUGUGUCGGAAGAGGACAAGAGCGAGGACCAGCGCUGCAGAGCUUUACUCCCCAGCGAGUUAAGGACCCUGAUCCAGGAGGCAAAGGAAAUGAAGUGGCCCUUCGUGCCUGAAAAGUGGCAGUACAAACAAGCCGUGGGCCCAGAGGACAAAACAAACCUGAAGGAUGUGAUUGGCGCCGGGUUACAGCAGUUACUGGCGUCCCUGAGGGCCUCCAUCCUCGCUCGGGACUGUGCGGCUGCGGCAGCUAUUGUGUUCUUGGUGGACCGGUUCCUGUAUGGGCUCGACGUCUCUGGAAAACUUCUGCAGGUCGCCAAAGGUCUCCACAAGUUGCAGCCAGCCACGCCAAUUGCCCCGCAGGUGGUUAUUCGCCAAGCCCGAAUUUCCGUGAACUCAGGAAAACUUUUAAAAGCAGAGUAUAUUCUGAGCAGUCUAAUAAGCAACAAUGGAGCAACGGGUUCCUGGCUAUACAGAAAUGAAAGUGACAAGGUCCUGGUGCAGUCGGUCUGUAUACAGAUCAGAGGGCAGAUUCUGCAAAAGCUAGGGAUGUGGUAUGAAGCAGCAGAGUUAAUAUGGGCCUCCAUUGUAGGAUAUUUGGCACUUCCUCAGCCGGAUAAAAAGGGCCUCUCCACAUCGCUAGGUAUACUGGCAGACAUCUUUGUUUCCAUGAGCAAGAACGAUUAUGAAAAGUUUAAAAACAAUCCACAAAUUAAUUUGAGCCUGCUGAAGGAGUUUGACCACCAUUUGCUGUCCGCUGCAGAAGCCUGCAAGCUGGCAGCUGCCUUCAGUGCCUACACGCCGCUCUUCGUGCUCACAGCUGUGAAUAUCCGUGGCACGUGUUUAUUGUCAUAUAGUAGUUCAAAUGACUGUCCUCCUGAAAUGAAAAACUUAUAUCUGUGUGAAGCCAAAGAGGCCUUUGAGAUUGGCCUCCUCACCAAGAGAGAUGAUGAGCCUGUUACUGGAAAACAGGAGCUUCACAGCUUCGUCAAAGCUGCUUUCGGUCUCACCACAGUGCACAGAAGGCUCAAUGGGGAGACAGGGACGGUCCAUGCAGCAAGUCAGCUUUGUAAGGAAGCAAUGGCGAAGCUGUACAACUUCAGCACUUCCUCCAGAAGUCAGGACAGAGAAGCUCUGUCUCAAGAAAUUAUGUCUGUGAUUGCCCAGGUGAAGGAACAUUUACAAGUUCAAAGCUUCUCAAAUGUAGAUGACAGAUCUUAUGUUCCAGAGAGUUUCAAGUGCAGGUUGGAUAAACUUAUCUUGCAUGGGCAAGGGGAUUUCCAAAAAAUCCUUGACACCUAUUCACAGCACCAUACUUCGGUGUGUGAAGUAUUUGAAAGUGAUUGUGGAAACAACAAAAAUGAACAGAAAGAUGCAAAAACAGGAGUCUGUAUCACUGCUCUAAAAACAGAAACAAAAAACAUAGAUACUGUGAGUACUACUCAAGAAAAGCCACACUGUCAAAGAGACACAGGAAUAGCUUCCUCCCUAAUGGGUAAGAAUGUUCAGAGGGAACUCAGAAGGGGAGGAAGGAGAAACUGGACCCAUUCUGAUGCAUUUCGAGUCUCCUUGGAUCAAGAUGUGGAGACUGAGACCGAGCCAUCGGAAGACAGCAAUGGUGAGGGAGCUGUUUUCAACAAGUCUCUGAGUGGCAGCCAGACUUCCAGUGCUUGGAGCAACUUAUCAGGGUUUAGUUCCUCUGCAAGCUGGGAGGAAGUGAAUUAUCACAUUGAUGACAGGUCAGCCAGAAAAGAGCCUGGCAAAGAACAUCUGGUGGACACUCAGUGUUCCACUGCCUUGUCUGAGGAGCUAGAGAAUGACAGGGAAGGCAGAGCUGUGCAUUCAUUGUGUUCACAGCUUCAUGGUCUCUCUCUUCAGGAACGCAGCAAUGACAAUUUGGAGCCUUCUCAAAAUCAGCUGCACCACCAGAUGCCCUUGACACCCUUCUCGCCUCAUAAUACCCCAGGCACUUUCUUGGCCCCUGGUGCAGGGCUUCUAGAAGGAGCUCCAGAAGGUAUCCAGGAAGUCAGAAAUAUGGGACCCAGAAAUACUUCUGCUCACUCCAGACCCUCAUAUCGUUCUGCUUCUUGGUCUUCUGAUUCUGGUAGGCCCAAGAAUAUGGGCACACAUCCUUCAGUCCAAAAAGAAGCCUUUGAAAUAAUUGAUGAGUUUCCAGAAACCAACUGUGAUGCCAAAGACAGGCAGGGGGAAGAGCAGGGAGAAGAAAUUAGUGAAAGAGGCACAGGCCCUACAUUUAAAGCUAGUCCCACCUGGGUUGACCCAGAAGGAGAAACAGCAGAAAGCACCGAAGAUGCACCCUUAGACUUUCACAGGGUCCUGAACAAUUCUCUGGGAAACACUUCCAUGCUGCCAUAUAGCUCCUUCACCCCUAAUUGGCCUGCUCAAAAUCCUGACUCCAGAAAAAGUGGUGGCCCAGUCACAGAGCAGGGCAUCGACCCUGAUGCCUCCACAGUGGAUGAGGAGGGGCAACUGCUCGACAGCACGGAUGUUCUCUGCACAAAUGGGCAUGGCUCUCAUAGACUGUGCACUCUGAGACAGUCGCCUGGUCAGAGGGCGGAGACCCCCAAUUCCUCUGUAAGCAGUAACAUCCUCUUCCCUGUCUUCAGCGAGGACUGCACUACCACAGAGGAAGGAAAUCAGCCUGGAAACAUGCUAAACUGCAGCCAGAACUCCAGUUCAUCCUCAGCGUGGUGGCUGAAAUCACCUGCAUUUUCCAGCGGUUCUUCUGAGGGGGACAGCCCUUGGUCCUAUCUGAAUUCCAGUGGGAGUUCUUGGGUUUCAUUGCCGGGAAAGACGAGGAAAGAGAUCCUUGAGGCUCACACCUUGCAACCUGAUGACUUUGAAAAGCUGUUGGCAGGAGUGAGGCAUGAUUGGCUGUUUCAGAGGCUAGAGAAUACGGGGGUUUUUAAGCCCAGUCAACUCCACCGAGCACAUACUGCUCUUUUGUUAAAAUAUUCAAAAAAAUCUGAACUGUGGACAGCCCAGGAAACUGUUGUCUAUUUGGGGGACUACUUGACUGUGAAGAAAAAAGGCAGACAAAGAAAUGCUUUUUGGGUUCAUCAUCUUCAUCAAGAAGAAAUUCUGGGGAGGUAUGUUGGGAAAGACUAUAAGGAGCAGAAGGGGCUCUGGCACCACUUCACUGAUGUGGAGCGGCAGAUGACCGCACAGCACUAUGUGACAGAAUUUAACAAGAGACUCUAUGAACAAAACAUUCCCACCCAGAUAUUCUACAUCCCAUCCACAAUAUUACUGAUUUUAGAGGACAAGACAAUAAAGGGAUGUAUCAGUGUGGAGCCUUACAUACUGGGAGAAUUUGUAAAAUUGUCAAAUAACACGAAAGUGGUGAAAACAGAAUACAAAGCCACAGAAUAUGGCUUGGCUUAUGGCCAUUUUUCUUAUGAGUUUUCUAAUCAUAGAGAUGUUGUGGUCGAUUUACAAGGUUGGGUAACCGGUAAUGGAAAAGGACUCAUCUACCUCACAGAUCCCCAGAUUCACUCUGUUGAUCAGAAAGAUGUCACUACCAAUUUUGGAAAGAGAGGAAUUUUUUACUUCUUUAAUAACCAGCAUGUGGAAUGUAAUGAAAUCUGCCAUCGUCUUUCUUUGACUAGACCUUCAAUGGAGAAACCAUAACAAUCACACCCCAUGUCUUCUCAUCCUUGAAGACUCACCUCAUCCAACACCUCCUUCAAGAAAUCUUCCCUGACAGCCUUUAUUCCCUUUCCCUCCCCACCACAACCCAGGUCAGAAAUCCUGGAUGGUAUGACUGGGACCUCAGCUCAUGGUAUCACAGGCCUAAAAGCAAUCUGUCAGCUGGCUGUGUUCUCUUCUGGAGCUUGGGAUCAUCUUUCAAUCUCAUUCCUGAUGUUGGUAAAAUUCAGUUCCUUGUGAUUGUAGAACUGAGGUGGCUGUUUCCUUGUUGGCUGUUAGCUGGGUUUGCUCUCAGCUACUUGUAGCCACUCUGGUCCUUGUAUGGAACCCCUCCAGCAUCAAGGCCAACAACAGCACACUAAAUCCUACUCACACUUCAAAUUUCUCUGACUUCUCCUGCUUCCAGUCAUAGAAAACUUUCUGCUUUAAAAGGGGUCAACUAAUUGAGUCAGGCCCACCUGGAUAAUCCUCAUAUUUUAAAGUUAAUGGACAUGUAAUCCUAGCACUUUGGGAGGCUGAGACGGGCAGAUCACUUGAGGUCAGGAGUUCAAGCCCAGCCUUGGCAACAUGGUGAAACCUCGUCUCCACUAGAAAUACAAAAAUUAGCCAGGAGUGGUGGCUCGUGCCUGUAAUCCCUGCUACUUGAGAGGCUAAGGCAUGAGAAUCACUUGAACCCAGGAGGCAGAGGUUGCAGUGAGCUGAGAUCGCACUACUGCACUCCAGCCUGGGCAACAAAGAGAGACUCUGUCUUAAUUAAUUAAUACUUAUUAAUUAAUUAAUUAAGUUAACUGACUUGGGACUUUACAGCAGUGCCUGUAUUACUGUUUGAACAACCAACAGAUAAGAAUCUUGGGGGAGGGCAUCUUUAGAGUGUUGCCUACCACAUAAUGUGAGUUCAGUGUGCUCCUGGUUCUGAGAUGCUGGGUUUCACAUACAUUUUAAGGUUUUUAGAUGCAAGGAACACAGGCUUGUUUAAGGAAAGUUAAAUAGUAUACACAUGAUACAAGAAGUGGUCUCACAGUUCUGAGUCCAGUGGGGGCGGUGGGAGCGAUGACAGUCUGAAAUGGUAGGAGCAGUUGUGUGAAGAUGGAGUUUCCUGGAGGAAAUGACAAUUACCUGACGAUCACAGGGCCUUCACACUCCUUCCUGUCAGGGGCUGAGACAUUCCAUACACCAAGCCUGGGUGACGAGGAAUUUGAAAUCCCACCUAUCUCUUUGGAUUCUGAUCCCUCAUUGGCUGUCUCAGAUGUGGUUGACCCUUUGAUAACCUGGCAGACCCUUCCUCUUCACAAGAUGGCAGUGCUUCAGCCCAGUAUGGGGUCCAGACAUUGGACAUGCUCUGUAGGCAUGACCCAUGGCUUGAUGGAGCAAGGCAGGGGCUCCUCAGUGGAGACUUGAUCAUGGACUUGAACCACUCUAUAGGAACUCAAUAUAGUGCCAACCCACCUGUUACAAUUGAUGUACUAAUGAUAGCCAUGACAUCUGACUUGAUGGGGCAUAGCCAGUUGACCACCAUUGAUCAGUCAGAACUGAGUUUCCAACUGGGUUUGAGCUUAGGGGGUGGCACCAUCCUGCCACCUGCCCAGUCACCUGAAGAUCAUCUUUCAACCACCCCUUCACCUACUAGUUCACUUCACGAGGUUGGUACUGAGGAUUUCCGGAGGCAAAUUUCCAGCCAGAAGACAGUGGUGGUGGAAGCAGGGAAAAAGCAGAAAGUCCCAAAGAAGAGAAAAAAGAAAGAUCCUAAUGAACCUCAGAAACCAGUUUCAGCAUAUGCUUUAUUCUUUGAUGAUACACAGGCUGCCAUCAAGGGACAGAAUCCUAUUGCCACUUUUGGUGAGGUUUCAAAAAUUGUGGCCUCCAUGUGGGAUAGUCUUGGAGAGGAGCAAAAACAGAUAUAUAAGAGGAAAACUGAGGCUGCCAAGAAAGAGUAUCUGAAGGCACUGGCUGCUUACAAAGACAACCAGGAGUGUCAGGCCACUGUGAAAACAGCGGAAUUGGAUCCAGCACCACCAUCACAAACUCCUUCUCCAACUCCUAUGGCUACUGUUGACCCAGCAUCUCCAGCACCAGCUUCAACAGAGCCCCCUGCCCUGUCCCCAUCCAUUGUUGUUAACUCCACCCUUUCACCCUAUUUGGCAAACCAGGCAUCUUCAGUAGCUGGGGGUCAGCCCAAUAUCACCAAGUUGGUUAUUACCAAACAAACGUUGCCCUCUUCCAUUACUAUGUCUCAAGGAGGGAUGGUUACUGCUAUCCCAGCCACAGUAGUGACCUCCUGGGGGCUCCAACUAGGCCAAACCAGUACAGCUACUAUCCAGCCCAGUCAACAAGCCCAGAUUGUCACUCGGUCAGUGUUGCAGGCAGCAGCAGCAGCUGCUGCUGUUGCUUCUAUGCAACUGCCUCCACCCCGACUACAGCCUCCUCCAGUAUAACAGAUGCCACGCCCCCGACUCAGCAGCAAGUUACCAUUCUGCAGCAGCCUCCUCCACUCCAGGCCAUGAAACAGCCUCCACCUCAGAAAGUUCGAAUCAAUUUACGGCAACAGCUACCUCCUCUGCAGAUCAGGAGUGUGCCUCCACUCACUUUGAAAAUGCAGACUACCUUAGUCCCACCAACUGUGGAAAGUAGUCCUGAGCAGCCUAUGAGCAAUAGCCCUGAGGCCCAUACAGUGGAGGCAACUUCUCCUGAGACUAUCUGUGAGAUGAUCACAGAUGUAGUUCCUGAGGUUGAGUCUUCUUCUCAGAUGGAUGUUGAAUUGGUGAGUGGGUCUCCUGUGGCACUGUCACCCCAGCCUCGAUGUGUGAUUGUCUGGUUGUGAGAAUCCUCCUAUUGUGAGUAAGGACUGGGACAAUGAAUGCUGCAGCAAUGAGUGUGUGGUGAAGCACUGCAGGGAUGUAUUCUUGGCCUGGGUAGCCUCUAGAAAUUCAAACACAGUGGUGUUUGUGAAAUAGUCCUUCCUGUUCUCCAAGCCAGUGAAGAGUUAUCUACUGGGAACAUGUCCAAGCGCCUGUUUUUGAAACACAAGCUGGGCUUCUGGUAGUGCCUGAUGACAACCCAUGAUGGCCAUUCAUGUUUCCCCCCUUUUCUCCCUUCAGCAGAGGCCAGGCUAUGAAGCAGGGCCACUGAACUUGCUGUAAUCUGGAGAUGCUUUUUACACAACCACAAGCAGAAAUACCAGUGGUAAUAGCAGAGGAACGGGUGAAGGGAGUAUGGGCAAGCAAAGUAUAGAGAUGGUAGGAGUGGUGGUGGAGUUGAAGAAACUUGUUUGUAUAAUUGUCAUAGGACUUGCCUAAAAUAUUAUUAAAAUGACGGGAGUGUACUCAGCUUUGAGCCUGGGGGGGAAAAGAAAAGAAGUGGUCUCAUAUGAAAAUCCAAGACCAGAAACAAACAUGGAACCUCACAGCAGGAGCUAGUGAAUCCUUGCUCUGGUGAUUUGCCAUUAACAAAAUUUAUGCAGUCUCCUUGAUUGUAUUCUUUCUAUAUUUCAAGUUUAAAUUUCUAGAGUUCUGCUUUCAUUUAGGAUGUAAAACAUCAUAAGAGAAACGGCUCUCACCCUAGCAACUGGAAAAAGACAGAAAACCCACAAACUUUUCAUGAGCCCACUGAAGAGCUAAGGUUACAGGGCAACCAAAUAAAUUAAAUUCCAAAGAAUUGCAAGCCCCUUCAAUGAGAGAGAGGACAUGCAAACUCUUUUGCCAUUGGCAGAGCAUAGAAAAAAGAGAUGACCACCAUACAAGCCAGUUAAAAGAUAUCAGCUGAAAGUUUAGUAGAUUCUUAAAAGUCAAUUGUGGACUAAAGUAUCAGCUUGAAAUAACUGACAGUCCAAGACACAAGAGGAUUUUGCCCUAAUUUACUAGCUCAUUUUCACUGCCCUCCACUAGAGGCUCAUGAGAAAAUCUAGAGAUGAAUAGGCAUGCAGGAGGUCAUCAGUGGUACAGCCAUAGAGAAAAUUUUCAGUUGCCCCUGGGGAAGAGAUAUGAACUCUACCCAGCUACACGGCUCCUUCUGUCACUGAAAGAAAAAGCCUGAAACUACUGGAGAUAAGGCAAGAAUUCUGUUGCUUCUAGUUGAUGACUAGAAGCAAAGGCCCUCUGGCCCUGGGAAAAAGCAGGGAAAACUCUUGGACUCAGGAUCCUGCACUGGUGUAAGGAGAAGUGCGCUACUUCUGGGAACAGGCAGGAAACUGUUUUCUAUCCAUGGCCCAAUGACCCACAGAUCAGAGUUCAACAGACACUGGGAGAAAGGAUAGUCAAGAAACACUGAUGAGGCUUCAUUUCUGAGACGCAGGCAUGCAAGUCUGCCUAAAAUUGAAACUAUGUUAGGAAAAUAAAAAUUCCCUCUUCCCAUGAUAAACCCAGUCCACAAUAGCAAGCAAUAGUAUUUUACCACUGAAGAAGGAUAAAGAACAUGGAAACAGACUCCCCCACCACCACCGUGGUACGGAUAUGAAAGGAGCAAAGAAAGCUGAGGAUAGAGCAGGAACGAUGAGAAAAACAAAACAAAACAAAAAUGAAAACCUCCACUAUCCCAGGCCUGCCCCACUCUAAGCACAAAGAAGCAUCAGCCCACCACUGAAGAAAUUCAGAGCUAGCACUGCAAUGAAGAUAAUGAGAGCAACAAUAAAGCCCAAACCCAGUGUAUGUCUGCCUACGCUAACUCAAUGCCCAACAUAACAGCCAAGCAAAAGAAAAUGCAUGUUCUUUUCCAGGUGUAAAUAUUGUUUGUCUCAGCUUCUAUCAUUCUUCCACAAAGGAUGUCCAACAUUCACUCAAAUAAUAGGAGACUUUAAGAGCAUGCAAAAACAACCCAUUGUCAAGAGAUAAAGCAAUUGACAGAACCAGACUCAGAGAUGACCCAGAUGUUGAGCGUAUCAGACAGAGAUUUUAAAAUCACACUGAUUCAUUUUGAAAUUUAAUAGAAAAUGUGUACAGUAUGCAUGAACAGACAGGGAGUUCAGUAAAGACACAGAAACUAUUUUUAAAAGAGUCAAAUGGGAAUGCUUGAAAUAAAUAAACACACAUAUACACAUAAUACCAACAGUGAAGACUUCACUAUAUGUGCUUAUCAGUAGGCUGAACACAGCUGAGAGAAGAAUUGGUGAAUUUGAAAAUAGAUCAGUACAAGGCAGAAAACUAACAAAGAUAUUCAGGGCCUGAACUCUACAUUUGACCUAAUGGGCCUAACAGACAUCUAUAGAACUUUCCAACUAAAAACAACAGAAUAUACAUUCUUCUCAUCUGCACAUGGCACAUGCUGUAAAAUUGACCACAUAAUCGCCAUAAAACAACCCUCAGCAAACUAAAACAAAAAACCAAAAUCAUGCCAAACACACUCUUAGAACAUAGUACAAAAAAAAAUAGAAAUUAAUUCUAAGAAAAUAACUCAAAACUGUACAAUUAUAUGGAAAUUAACUGAUCUUCUACUGAAUGACUUUUGGGUAAACAAUGAAAUUAAGGCAGAAAUCAUUAAAUUCUUUGAAAGUAAUUAGAACAACGAUACAACAUACCAGAAUCUCUGGGAUACAGCUAAAGCGGUGUUAAGAGAGAAGUUAAUAGCACUAAACACCCACAUCAAAAAGUUAUGAAGAUAUGAAAUUAACAACCUAACAUCAUACCUAGAGAAACUAGAGAAACAUGAGUAAACCAACUCCAAAGCUAGCAGAAGGCAAGAAGUAACCAAAAUGAGAGCUGAACUGAAGGAAAUUGAGAUGUGAAAAAUCAUACAAAAGAUCAAUGAAUCCAGGGGUUUAUUUGAAAGGAUAAAUAAGAUUCACAGACCACUAGCUAGACUAAUAAAGAAAAAAGAGACGCGAUCCAAAUAAACACAAUCAGAAAUGAAAAAGGGGACAUUACCGCUGACCCCACAGAAAUACAAAAAAAAAGUUCAGAAACUACUAUGAACACCUCUAUGCACACAAACUAGAAAACCUAGAAGAAAUGGAUAAAUUCCUGGAAACAUACAACCUCCCAAGAUUAAACCAGGAAAAAAUUGAAUCCCUGGACAGACCAAUAAUAAGUUCCAAAAUUGAAUCAGAAAUAAAAGGCCUACCAACAAGAAAAAGCCCAGAACCACAUGAAUUCAUACCCAAAUUUUACCAGAUGUAUAAAGAAGAGCAUAUACUGUUCCUACUGAAACUAUUCCAAAAAAUUAAGGAGGGGGGAUUCCUUCCUAACUCAUUCUCUGAAAUGAGCAUCAUCCUGAUACCAAAACCAGGCAGAGACACAACAGCAAAAAAGAAAACUUCAGGCCAAUACCCUUGAUGAACAUACAUGCAAAAAUCCUCAACAAAAUACCAGCAAACUGAAUGCAGCACCAGAUCAAAACCUAAGCCAUCACAAUCAAGUAGGGUUUAUCCCUGGGAUGCAAGCUUUGUUUAAUGUAUGUAAAUCAAUAAAUAUGAUUCAUUUCAUAAGCAGAACUAAAAACAAAAAUUACAUGAUUAUCUCAAUCAAUGCAGAAAAGCCUUUCAAUAAAAUUCAACAUCCCUUCAAGUUAAAAACCCUCAACAAACUAGGCAUUGAAGGAACAUACCUCAAAAUAGUAAAAGCUAUCUAUGGCAAACCCACAGCCAAUAUCAUACUGAAUGGGUAAAAGCUAAAAUCAUUCCUCUUGAGAACUGGAAUGAGACAAUGAUACAAGGAUGCCCACUCGCACCACUCCUAUUUAACAUAGUGUGUCCGGAAUUGGUGGGUUCUUGGUCUCACUGACUUCAAGAAUGAAGCCGUGGACCCUCACGGUGAGUGUUACAGCUCUUAAGGUGGCGCAUCUGGAGUUUGUUCCUUCUGAUGUUCGGAUGUUCCUUCUGGUGGGUUCAUGGUCUCGCUGGCUCAGGAGUGAAGCUGCAGACCUUCGCGGUGAGUGUUACAGCUCUUAAGGUGGCGCGUCUGGAGUUAUUCAUUCCUCCCGGUGGGCUCGUGGUCUCGCUGGCUUCAGGAGUGAAGCUGCAGACCUUUGCGGUGAGUGUUACAGCUCAUAAAAGCAGCGUGGACCCAAAGAGUGAACAGUAGCAAGAUUUAUUGCAAAGAGUGCAAGAACAAAGCUUCCACAGUGUGGAAGGGGACCCGAGUGGGUUGCCAAUGCUGGCUCAGGCAGCCUGCUUUUAUUCUCUUAUCUGGCCCCACCCACAUCCUGCUGAUUGGUAGAGCCCAGUGGCCUGUUUUGACAGGGCGCUGAUCGGUGUGUUUACAAUCCCUGAGCUGGAUACAAAGGUUCUGUAAGUCCCCAUCAGAUUAGUUAGAUACAGAGUUUGGACACACAGGUUCUCCAAGGCCCCACUAGAGCAGCUAGAUACAGAGUGUCAAUUGGUGCACUCACAAACCUUGAGCUAAACACAGGGUGCUGACUGGUGUGUUCACAAACCUUAAGCUAGAUACAGAGUGCCGAUUGGUGUGUUUACAAUCCCUGAGCUAGACAUAGAGGUUCUCCAAGGCCCCACCAGAGCAGCUAGAUACAGAGUGUCAAUUGGUGUACUCACAAACCCUGAGCUAGACACAGGGUGCUGAUUGGUGUGUUUACAAUCCCUGAGCUAGACAUAAAGGUUCUCCAAGGCCCCACCAGAGCAGCUAGAUACAGUGUCGAUUGGUGCACUCACAAACCUUGAGCUAAACACAAGGUGCUGAUUGGUGUGUUCACAAACCUUGAGCUAGAUACAGAGUGCUUGCAAUCCCUGAGCUAGAUAUAAAGACUCUCCACAUCCUCACCAGACUCAGGAGCCCAGCUGGUUUCACCUAGUGGAUCCCACACCAGGGCGGCAGGUGGAGCUGCCUGACAGUCCCAUGCCAUGCGCUCGCACUCCUCAGCCCUUGGGUGGUAGAUGGGAGUGGGCUCCAUGGAGCAGGGGGCGGUGCUCGUCGGGGAGGCUUAGGCUGCACAGGAACCCACAGAGGCAAAGGCUCAGGCAUGGCGGGCUGCAGUCCCGGGCCUGCCCUGCAGGAAGGCAGCUAAGGCCCGGCGAGAAAUCGAGCGCAGCGCCGGUGGGCUGGCACUGCUGGGGGACCCAGUACAUCCUCUGCAGCCGCUGGCCAGGGUGCUAAGUCCCUCAUUGCCCGGGGCUGGCAGGGCCUGCUGGCUGCUCUGAGUGCGGGGCCCACCAAGCCCAUGCCCACCCAGAACUCCAGCUGGCCCGGAAGCGCCACACACAACCCCGGUUCCUGCUCGCGCCUCUCCCUCCACACCUCCCUGCAAGCUAAGGGAGUGGGCUCCAGCCUUGGCCAGCCCAGAAAGGGGCUCCCACAGUGCAGCAGUGGGCUGAAGGUCUCCUCAAGUGCCGCCAAAGUGGUAGCCCAGGCAGAGGAGGUGCCGAGAGAGCAAGGGCUGUGAGGACUGCCAGCACGCUGUCACCUCUCAAUAGUACUAGAAGUCCUAGCCAAAGUAAUCUGGCAAAAGAAAGAAAAAGAAGGCAUCCAAAUAGAAAGAGAGGAAGUCAAAAAAAAUCUGUGUUUGGAGAUGAUACGCUUCUAUACAUAGAAAAUCCCAUCGUCUGUGCCCAAAUGCUCCUAGAUCUAAUAAACAACUUCAGCAAAGUUUCAGGAUACAAAAUCAAUAUACAAAAAUCUGUAGUAUUUUAUACACCAACAAUGUCCAAGAUGAGAGAUGAAUCAGUAACACAAUCCCAUCCACAAUAGCCACAGAAAGAAUGAAAUACCUAGGAAUACAGCUAACCAGGGAGGUCAAAGAUCUCUACAACAAGAAUUACAAAACACUGCUCAAAGAAAUCAGAGAAGACACAAACAAAUGGAAAAAUAUUCCAUGGUCGUGGAUAGGAAGACUCAAUAUUGUUAAAAUGGCAAUAUUGCCCAAAGCAAUUUACAGAUUCAAUGCUAUUCCCGUCAAACUACUAGGGACAUUCUUGACAUAACUGGAAAAAACUAUUUUAAAAUUCAUGUGGAACCAAAAGAGAGCUCAAAUAGCCAAGGCAAUUCUAAACAAAAAGAAAAAGGGUGGAGGCAUCACAUUACCUGCCUUCAAACUAUACUACAAGGCUACAGUAACCAAAACAGCAUGGUACUGAUAUAAAAACAGACACAUAGAACAAUGGAAUAGAAAAGAAAACCUAGAAAUAAGGCUGCACCCCUACAACCAUUUGGUCUUCAACAAAGUUUACAAAAACAAGCAAUGAAGAAAAAUUACUGAUAUCUGUAUCCCCACCCAAAUCUGGCUCUGUAUCCCCACCCAAAUCUCACUUUGAAUUGCAAUAAUCCCCACGUGUCAAGGGCAGGACAGGUGGAGAUAAUUGAAUCAUGAGGUGGUUUCCCUCAUGCUGUUCUCCUGAUAGUGACUGAGUUCUCACAAGAUCUGAUGGUUUUAUAAGGGGCUUCGCCCUUUGCUGUGCACUCAUUCUCUCUCUGGCUGCCCUGUGAAGAGGUGCCUUCUGCCAUGAUUGUAAGUUUCCUGAGGCCUCCCCAGCCAUGCUGAACCAUGAGUCAAUUAAACCUCUUUUCUUUGUAAAUUACCUAGUUUCAAGUAUGUCUUUAUUAACAGCAUGAGAAAAAACUAAUACAACUCCCAAUUCAAUGAAUGAUGCUGAGACAACUUGUUAGCCAUAUGCAGAAGGUUGAAGCUGGACCCCUUUCUUACACCAUACAAAAUUCAACUCAAGAUGGAUUAAAGACUUAAAUGUAAAACCUAAAACUAUUUAAAAAAAGAAAAAACCUGCUAGAUAACCUAGAAAAUACCAUUCUGGACAUCAGCCUUGGCAAAGAUUUCAUGACAAAGACUCUAAAAGUAACUGCAACAAAAACAAAAAAUUACAAAUGGGACCAAAUCAAACUAAAGAGCUUUGGCACAGCAAAAGAAACUAUCAAUGGAGUAAACAGCCUACAAAGUGGAAGAAUAUAUUUGCAAACUAUGCUUCUGAUAAAGGUCUAAUAUCCAAAAUCUAUAAGGAACUUAAACAAAUUUACCAGUUGUUAAAAAAACAAACAACCCUGUUAAAAAAACAAGCAACCCUAUUAAAAAAUGGGCAAGGGACAUGAACAGACACUUUUCAAAAUAAGACAUACAUGUGGUCAACAAACAUAUAAAAAAAUGCUCAACAUCACUAAUCGUUAGAGAAAUGUAAAUCAAAACCACAAUGAGAUACUGUUAGAUGGUGUAAGAUACCAGUCACAAUAGUUAUUAUUAAAAAGUAAAAAAACAUGACAGAUGCUGGAAAGGUUCCAGAGAAAGGGGAAUGUUUAUACACUGCUGGUGGGAAUGUAAGUCGGUUCAGCCGUUGAGAAAAGCAGUGUGGUAAUUUCUCAAAGAUCUUAAAAAGAAGUACCAUUUGAACCAGAAAUUCCAUUACUGGGUAUAUACCCCCCAAAAAUAUAAAUUGUUCUACCAUAAAGACACGUGUACAUAUAUACUCUUCCCAUAUAUGUUCACAAUACGUAUAUAUGUUCAUAUAUAUAUAUGUUCACAUGUACAUAUAUGUUCAUCGCAGUACUGCUCACAAUAGCAAAGACAUGAAGCCAACUUGGGUGCCCAUCAGUGGUGGAUUAGAUAAAGAAAUACAUAUAUACCAUGGAAUACCAUACAGCCAUAAAAAGGAAUGAGAUCAUGUUCUUUGCAGCUACAUGGAUGCAGCUGGAGGCCAUGAUCCCAGGUGAACUAAUGCAGGAAGAGAAAACCAAAUACCCCAUAUUCUCACUCCUAAGUGAGAGCUAAACAUUGAGUACACAUGGAUACACAGAAGAGAACAACAGACAUGGGGCCUACUUGAGGGUGGAAGGUGGGAGGAGGGAUUACCUAUUGGAUACUAUGCCUAUUACCUGGCUGAUGAAAUAAUCUAUACACUAAACCCCUGCGACAUGCAACUUAUUUAUAUAACAAACCUGCACACAUAUCUCUGAACCUAAAAUAAGUUUUUUUAAAUGAAUAUGACCUUAGGAUGGCUUUUUUAUUAUACUUUAAAUUCUAGGAUACAUAUGUUAGGAUGGCUUUUACAACACAAAAGAAUAUACUCAUUUUGUCCAAACAUGGUAGUAUUUUAAUGACAUGUUGAGCAUUUUUAUUUUGUUCAUUUUUUAUUAAUUCUUCUUAGCAUUAGAAAGAGUCUUUCAUUUUUUUCCUUUAUUUUGUUCACCAGUCUAUAUAUUUUUUAAUUUCUUGUAUUGCUUUCCAUUUCUCAACUGAAAAGUAACUACCAUGGAAAUGAAAUUAUAUCUGCUCUGUACAAGGUUGUAAUCCUUAUACAGAGGAUGAAAGUUAUAGUUCUUGGUAUAUGUUAGGUGCUCACUAAAUAUUUGUCAAAUAAAAAAUAGAUCAGUAAAUGUUAUUUAAACUGGAAUGUAAAGAGCCAAAAGAGUUUUAAAAAAGAAUAAGAGCUGCCAAAAGCUGCAUAGCAAUAUUAAAAUAACUAAACAUAUGUAAUUGGAUUACCAGAAGAAGAAAAGAUAGAGAAUGAAGCAGAGGAAAUAUUUAAAGAGAUAAAUUCUGAGAAUUUUCCAAAAUUAACAAAAGACAAAAAUUCACAGAUCUAACAAACAUAGAAAAUCUCCCCAAAAUAUAAAUAUCAAAAGAAGCCACACCUAGACAUAUCAUAGUCAAACUGCUGAAACCAAAUAUUAAGACAAAAUCUUCACAGUAGCCAUGCAUGGAAACAGGGUAGCGUGGAGGAGAUAUAACUUACAGAGGAAAAAAGACAAAAAUUACAAAAGACCUCUUGUCAGCAACUAUAAAUUAGGAGACAACGGCAUGAUUUAAAGCAUGAGGUGGGUGGAGGGGAGGGAGAGUUAACUGAAUGUAUUAGGGUUCCCUAGAGGGACAGAACUAAAUUAUAUAUAUAUAUAUCCAAUGCUGUGUGGAAACCAUGUAUAUAUAUAUAUACACAUAUACACACACAUAUAUAUGUACACAUAUAUAUAUACACACACACACACACACACACAUAAAAGGGAGUUUCUUAAGUAUUAACUUACAUGAUUACAAGGUCCCACAACAGGCCGUCUGCAAGCUGAGGAGCAAGGGGAGCCAGUCUCAAAACUGAAGAACUUGGGGUCCAAUGUUUGAGGGCAGGAAGCAUCCAACAUGGGAGAAAGAUGCGGGCUGGGAGACUAGGCCAGUCUCUCCUUUUCACAUUUUUCUGCCUGCUUUAUAUUCACUGGCAGCUGAUUAGAUUGUGCCCACCAGAUUAAGGGUGAAUCUGCUUUCCCCAACCCACUGACUUUAAUGUUAGUCUCUUUUGGUAACACCCUCACAGACACACCCAGGAUCAAUACUUUGUAUCCUUCAAUCCAAAGAAGUUGACACUCAGUAUUAACCAUCACAAGUCCACCCCUUGUCAACUUGAACCCAUACACAUCUCCUGAGAUCAUACAUAAUCUUCAAAUAAAGACAGGAAAUACAACAAUCCUUCAUACAACCAGAAACGUACCACUCCCCAAACCAAAUACUAUUACAUAAGGUUAACAAUACUUAAAUGCUGAUAUGAAAUCAGUAAAUCUUAUGUCACAUGAUAAAGGAAAAAGAAACAAAAUACGGAUUUUUUUUAGUACACACAUAUACAUGCACAAACAUGUUUUUGGCAAAAGAAGGAGUAAAUACUCAUGACAAUUACAGUCCCUAUUUCUGCAGCUGGUCACAUGGUCAUAGCUGGUAUUGAUGAUAACCUUCUUCUACUGCCCAUUCUGUAUUCCCUUUGCUUUCAGCAAGCACCUCAGCAGGUUGCAGUUUUUUUCCUGGUGGAAUGACCCAAACCUUCAUUCCUGAGGGGUCUGGGCCAUUUGUAGUCCUGCCUGGAUUGGGCUGUUGUAGUUUCCCAUUGACCUUAAUCACAGGGCAUAGUAAUACUAAGAGAUGCCCUAGUGGAUCUCCUGCAUCCAUGCCUCCUCUUCCUUACCUCCAUUGUGGAAUAGUAGACUGAUUUCAUCUUGAUAGUCCUCAUCAAUUACCGCAGCCAACACUGUAACUCUCUUCUUAGCCUGUUGACUUAAAGGUAGGAGGAGACCAAAGUGUCCAGGUGGCAAUCUUAACUUCCAGCUUAAUGGAAUUGUUGUUAUGUCUCCUGGUGGCAGGAUUCCUCCCUCUGGAAGUAAGACCUCUAGGCCAGCAGAACAUAAUGUCACGGGAACAGGAAGCAAAAAUUUUGCUAGUGGAUCACUAGGGGUUUUGCUGAGUGGUGCCACUUUCACUUCCACUCCUUGAUUCCUGUACCCAUGAAUUCUGGCUAUGGGAGAAACAGUACCAUAUAUUGGACACUGAUUCAGAGCAUACAUGGCCUUCUGGAGAACUUUGCCCCAGCCCUGUAAAGUACUGUCACCUAGUAGGCAUUGUAACUGUGACUUCAAAAGGCCAUUCCACCAUUCUAUCAAUCCAGCUGCUUCAUGAUGAUGGGGAACGUGAUAAGACCAGUGAAUUCCAUGAGCAUGAGCCCACUGCCACACUGCUUUAGCCAUAAAGUGAGUGCCUUGGUCAGAGGCAAUGCUGUAUGGAAUACCAUGAUGGUGGAUAAGGCAUUCUAUGAGUCCAUGGAUGGUAGUCUUGGCAGAAGCAUUGUGUUCAGGAUAGGCAAACCCAUAUCCAGGGUAAGUGUCUAUCCCAGUGAGGACAAACCUCUUCCCUUUCUGUGAUGGGAGAGGUCCAAUAUAAUCAACCUGCCGCCAGAUAGAUGGCUGAUCACCCUGAGGAAUGGUGCCAUAUCAAGGCUCAGUGUUGGUCUCUGCUGCUGGCAAAUUGGGCACUCAGCAGUGGCUGUAGCCAAGUCAGCCUUAGUGAGUGGAAGCCCAUGUUGCUGAGCCCAUGCAUAACCUCCAUCCCUGCCACCAUGGCCACUUUGUUCAUGGGCCCAUUGGGCAAUGACAGGGGUGACUGGGGAAAGAGGCUAAGUGGUGUCCACAGAACGGGUCAUCCUAUCCACUUGAUUAUUAAAAUCCUCCUCUGCUGAGGUCACCUGUUGGUAAGCAUUCACAUGGGAUAAAAAUAUCUUCGCAGUUUUUGACCACUCAGAAAGGUCCAUCCAUGUACCUCUUCCCCAAAUUUCUUUGUCAUCAAUUUUUUAAUCAUGCUUCUUCCAAGUCUCUGACCAUCCAGCCAAACCAUUGGCUACAGCCCAUGAAUCAGUAUAUUAUUGUACAUCUAGCCAUUUCUCCUUCCAUGCAAAGUGCACAACCAGGUGCACUGCUCGAAGCUCCACCCACUGGGAAGAUUUCCCUUCACUGCUGUCCUCCAUGGAUGUCCUAGAAUGAGGCUGUAAUGCUGCAGCUGUCCACUUUCAGGUGUUACCUGCAUAUCGUGCAGAACCAUCUGUGAAGCAGGCCCUAGUCUUCUCUUUCUCUGUCAAAUGAUCAUAGGGAACUCACCAUGAGGCCAUUGGUCCAGGGUGGGGAAGAGAAGGCAGGAGUGGAGACCACAGGCAUUUGAGCCACUUCCUCAUGUAACUUACUUGUGCCUUCAGGAUCUGCUCAAGCCCGAUCAUGUAUAUACUACUUCCAUUUGAUGAUGGAAUGCUGCUGUGCACAACCCACUUUAUGGCUAGAUGGGUCAGAAAGCAUCCAGUUCAUGAUAGGCAGUUCAGGUUGCAUGGUGUCUUGAUGACUCAUAGUCAAAUGUUCGGUUUUCACCAAAGCCCAGUAACAGGCCAAAGCUGUCUCUCAAAAGGAGAGUAGUUAUCUGCAGAAGAUGGCAGGGCCUUGCUCCAAAAUCCUAGAGGCCUCCACUGCGGUUCACCUAUGGGUCCUACCAAAGGCUCCAAACAGCAUCCCUAUCUGCCACUGCCACCUCAAGCGCCAUUGGAUCUGCUGGGUUGUAUGGCCCAAGUGGCAGAGCAGCUUGCACAGCAACCUGGACCUGUUGCAGAGCCUUCUCUUGUUCUGGACCCCACUCAAAACUGGCAGCCUUUUGGGUUGCUCAAUAAAUGGGUUGGAGUAACACAUCCAAAUGAAAAAUGCGUUGCCUCCAAAAUCCAAAUAGGCCCACUAGGCAUUGUGCCUCUUUCUUGGUUGUAUGAGGUCCAAAUGCAGCAACUUAUCCUUCAUCUUAGAAAGAAUAUUUUGACAGGCCCACACCAAUGGACCCCACAAUACUGGACCCCCUUUUUAUUGAGGUAGAAGUUUCCUGAAUUUUAGUCGGAUUUAUUUCCCAUCUUCUGACAUGCAAUGUCUCACCAAUAAGUCCAGUGUAUUUGCUACUUCUUGCUCACUGGAUCCAAUCAGCAUAAUGUCAUCAAUGUAAAGAACUAGAGUGAUAUCUUGUGGAAGCAAAAAGUAAUCAAGGUCUCUCUGAAUAAAAUUAUGACAGAAAGCAGGAGAGUUGAUAUACCCCUGAGGUAGGACAGUAAAGGUAUAUUGCUGGCCUUGCCAGCUGAAGGCAAAUUGUUUCUGGUGGACCUUAUGGACAGAAAUGGAGAAAAAGGCAUUUGCCAAGUCAGUGGCUGCAUACCAGGUGCCAGGAGAUGUGUUAAUUUGCUCAAGCAAUGAAACCACAUCUGGUACAGCAGCUGCAAUUGGAAUUGCCUCUUGGUUAAGCUUAUGAUAAUCCACUGUCAUUCUCCAAGAUCCAUCUGUCUUCUGCACAGGCCAAAUGGGAGAGUUGAACAGGAAUGUGGUGGGAAUCAUGACCCCUGCAUCUUUCAAGUCCUUGAUAGUGGCGCUAAUUUCCACAGUCCCUCCAGGGAUGCAAUAUUGGUUUUGAUUUACUAUUUUUCUAGGUAGAGGCAGCUUUAGUGGCCUCCAUUUGGCCUUUUCCACCAUAAUAGCCCUCACCCUACCAGUCAGGGAGCCAAUGUGGGGAUUCUGCCAGCUGUUAAGAAUGUCUAUGCCAAUUUUGCAUUCUGGCAGUGGGGUUAUGACCACAGGAUGAGUCCAGGCAUCCACUGGACCCACAGUAAGUUGGACCUGAACUAGAACUCUAUUAAUUACCUGACCUCCAUAAGCCCCUACUUUAACUGGAGGACCACAGUGAUGAUUUGGAUGACUUUAUACAUAGUACCUUUGACCAUAUGUGGAGAACCAAAGAACAUAUUGAAGCUGGUUGGCUUCUUCUAAGUUCAGUGGACAAAGUGAUAAAAGAAAAUUAUGAACUCAGGGAUUCUGUCUCCUGGCUUCAGAAGCAGAUACUGAGACUCAAAUCUACUAAGGUUGCCCUGAGUGAGAGUCUUACCUCCUGUAGAGAAAGAGCUGAAAUUGUAGAAAAACAGACGCAAGCUCUUAUCAUUCGAAUGGCUGACUUUUGUAUAAUAAACGUGUAUCCUUUGCUUUUACUAAAUUAAAUUAUUAGUUCUAAUAGCUUUUUGUAGAUUCUUUAAAAUUUUACAUACAGAUAAUCAUGUUUUCAGUGAAUUAGUUUCACUUCUUUUUUCCAGUCUUUAGCCCUUUAUUUAUAUUAGGUUGGUGCAAAAGUAAAUGCAGUUAUUGCCAUUACUUUUAAUUACUCUUAAUGGCAAAACCUGCAAUUAGUUUUGCACCAUCCUAAUAUUUCUUGCUGUAUAGCACUGGCUAGGAACUCCAAUACAACACUGAAUAGAAGUGAUGAGAGAAAACAUCCCUGCUUUAUUCCAAAUCUUAGAGGGAAAUCAUACAGUCUUUCACCACUAACUAUAAUAACUGUAGUUUUUUUAUAGAUACCCUUUAUCUGAUUGCCAAAAUAAUUUUCUUCUACUCCUCGUUUGCCGGGAACAUUUAUAAUGAAUUAAUGUUGACUUUUACCAAAUUAUUAUUUAAUGCCCAUUGUGAUCAAAUGAAUUUUCUUUUUUAGUUUGUUAAUAUGAUUAAUUACAUUAGUUAAUAUUUAAAUGUUGAACCAACUUUGCACUCUUGGAAUAAAACUUAUUUUGUCUUGAAGAUUUUAUAUAUGUAUUAUUGGAUUCAAUUUAUGAAAAUCUUGGUAAGCUGUUUUCAGUCAAUAUUUAACGGAAGUAUUUGUCCUUUUAUUUAUUUAAUUAUCUAUUUGAUAAAUGCAAUACAUUAAAAACUAACUCUUUAAUAACUGUUUCUUUUAUUUUAAUGCCUUUGCCUGCUUUUGUUAUCAGAAUAAUCCUAGCCUCUGUAGUUACCAAAACAGUAUGAUACUGAUAUUAGUGUAGGCACAUAGACCAAUGGAACGGAAUAGAGAACCCAGAAAUAAAGUCAAAUAUGUACAGCCAACUAAUCUUCAACAAAGCAUACAAAAACAUAAAUUGGGGAAUGGACAUCCUAUUUAACAAAUGUUACUGGGAAAACUGGCAAGCCACAUGAAGAAAAAUGAAACUGGAUCCCUACCUCUUGCCUUAUCUAAAAAUCAACUCAAGAUGGAUCAAAGACUUAAAUAUAAGACCUGAAGCUAUCAAAAUUCUAGAAGACAACAUUGAAAAAAUUCUUCUAGACAUCAGCCUAGGGAAAGACUUCAUGACUAAGACCCCAAAAGCAAAUGUGACAAAAAUAAAAAUAAAUAAAUAAGACCUAAUGAAACUAAAAAGCUUCUCUACAGCAAGAGAAAUAAUCGGCAGAGUAAACAGACAACCCACAGAAUGGGAGAAAAUAUUUGUAAACUAUGCAUCUAACAAAGGACUUAUAUCCAGAAUCUAUAAGAAACUCAAACAAAUCAGCAAGUAAAAACAAAUAAUCCCAUUAAAAAGUGGGCAAAGGACAUAAUUAGGCAUUUCUCAAAAGAAAAUAUACAAAUGGCCAACAAGCAUAUGAAAAAAAUGCUUAAUAGCACUAAUCAUCAGAGAAAUUCAAAUUAAAAUAACAAUGAGAUACCACCUUACUCCUGCAAGAAUGGCCAUUACUGAAAAGCAAAAAAAGCAAUAGAUGUUGGCAUGGAUAUGGGAAAAAGGGAAAGUUUAUACAGUUCUGAGAAGAAUGUAAAUUAGUACAACCUCUAUAGAGAACACUACGGAGAUUCCCUAAAGAACUAAAAGUAGAACUACCAUUUGACAGCAAUCCCACUACUGGGUAUCCAGCCAAAGGAAAAGAAGUAAUUAUAUGAAAAAGAUACUUGCACACAUAUGUUUAUAGCAACACAAUUCACAAUUGCAAAGAUGUGGAACCACCCUAAAUGCCCAUCAACUAAAGAGUGAAUAAAUAAAAUGUAGUAUAUAUAUACACACCGUGAAAUACUACUCAGCCAUUAAAAGAAAUGAAAUAAUGUCUCUUGCAGCAACUUAGACGGUGCUGGAGGCCAUUAAUCUAAGUGAAGUAACACAGGAGUGAAAAACCAAAACAAUAUUUCUCACUUAUAAGUGGGAGCUAAGCUAUGAGUAUGCAAAGGCAUACAGAGUGAUAUAAUAGAUUUCAGAGACUCAGAAGGCAGAAGGUGGGGGGCUAGGGAUAAAAAACUACACACUAGGUACAAUGUACACUACUCGAGUGAUGUGCUCUAAAAUCUCAGAAUUUACUACUGUGUAAUUUAUCCAUGUAACAAAAAAUCCACUUGUAUCUCAAAAUCUAUUAAAGUUAAAAAAGUUGCCAGGCACGGUGGCUCAUGCCUGUAAUCCCAGCACUUUGGGAGGCCAAGGAGGGUGGAUCACCUGAGGUCAGGAGUUUAAGACCAGCCUGGCCAACAUGGUGAAACCCCGUCUCUACUAAAAAUACAAAAAUUAGCUAGGUGUGGUGGUGGGUGCCUGUAAUCACAGCUACUCAGGAGGCUGAGGCAGGAGAAUCUUUUGAACCCGGGAGGUGAAGGUUGCCCUUCCUCUUGGGAUCUAUGAAUAGCAAAGUAUCAUUUCAAUGGCAAUCACCUCCUAAUUUGUUAGAGUCAACACACCAGGACAAUAAUAAAAUCUAUGCCUUAAAACAACGUAUAACUAUGUUAAUAUAGCCACUUCAAAUUUCUUUUGAUUGUGUCCACAGACCACAUUUUUUUCUACCUUUUUACUUUUAUUACUUUUUUCUUUAUAUUCAAAGUAGGCAGCGUGCAGUUGGAUUUUGCUUUUUUAUCUAAUAUGACAAUUUCUGCCUUUUAACUGAACUAUUUAGAUCAUUUACAUUUACUGGAAUUGACAAUAAAGUUGUAUUUAAAUC
RNA transcript from Pongo pygmaeus (Bornean orangutan), 22923 nucleotides. It is a transcript of the gene named alpha kinase 1, with no coding region annotated. Lineage: Eukaryota; Metazoa; Chordata; Mammalia; Primates; Hominidae. The record is from RefSeq and is a predicted model, not a curated record. The transcript is spliced from 17 exons.